Molecule: ribosomal RNA, 468 nt
Filed under: uncultured bacterium
Lineage: Bacteria
Description: partial 16S ribosomal RNA
Rfam family: Bacterial small subunit ribosomal RNA
Source: RNAcentral
GACGAACGCUGGCGGCGUGCUUAACACAUGCAAGUCGAACGGAAAGGCCCUGCUUUUGUGGGGUGCUCGAGUGGCGAACGGGUGAGUAACACGUGAGUAACCUGCCCUUGACUUUGGGAUAACUUCAGGAAACUGGGGCUAAUGCCGGAUAGGAGCUCCUGCUGCAUGGUGGGGGUUGGAAAGUUUCGGCGGUUGGGGAUGGACUCGCGGCUUAUCAGCUUGUUGGUGGGGUAGUGGCUUACCAAGGCUUUGACGGGUAGCCGGCCUGAGAGGGUGACCGGCCACAUUGGGACUGAGAUACGGCCCAGACUCCUACGGGAGGCAGCAGUGGGGAAUAUUGCACAAUGGGCGGAAGCCUGAUGCAGCAACGCCGCGUACGGGAUGACGGCCUUCGGGUUGUAAACCGCUUUCGCCUGUGACGAAGCGUGAGUGACGGUAAUGGGUAAAGAAGCACCGGCUAACUACGUG